GACGAACGCUGGCGGCGUGCCUAAUACAUGCAAGUUGAGCGCCGAAGGUUGGUACUUGUACCCACUGGAUGAGCAGCGAACGGGUGAGUAACGCGUGGGGAAUCUGCCUUUGAGCGGGGGACAACAUUUGGAAACGAAUGCUAAUACCGCAUAAAAACUUUAAACACAAGUUUUAAGUUUGAAAGAUGCAAUUGCAUCACUCAAAGAUGAUCCCGCGUUGUAUUAGCUAGUUGGUGAGGUAAAGGCUCAUCAAGGCGAUGAUACAUAGCCGACCUGAGAGGGUGAUCGGCCACAUUGGGACUGAGACACGGCCCAAACUCCUACGGGAGGCAGCAGUAGGGAAUCUUCGGCAAUGGACGAAAGUCUGACCGAGCAACGCCGCGUGAGUGAAGAAGGUUGUCGGAUCGUAAAACUCUGUUGGUAGAGAAGAACGUUGGUGAGAGUGGAAAGCUCAUCAAGUGACGGUAACUACCCAGAAAGGGACGGCUAACUACGUG
RNAcentral lists this ribosomal RNA (497 nucleotides) under uncultured bacterium. RNAcentral's name for it is "partial 16S ribosomal RNA". It matches the Rfam family "Bacterial small subunit ribosomal RNA", at positions 28 to 507 of the family's 1533-position model. The record is from RNAcentral.